AUACGAGUUAGUAUGUUCGUUGGAAUUGUUGACGUUUCGGAUGAAAUAUGGAAAGUGACGAACUUCUUGAAUUUGUGUAUAUUGUUUGGAACAUGAUUGGGAUGUGUUUGAAUAAUCUUGAAUGAGUGAAUGAAUACAAUAAUGUGGACAUUAGUUUGGUAUUGUGAAGUUUGAAUGAAAAUUGUCAACUUAUAUAGAAAGGAAGAAUAUUGAAGUUAGAGUGCUUUAGUUGUGGUUUAUGUUGUUUGUGAUGUUUGGGUUGUUGUUGUUGAUGUUUAUUGAGCCGAGCUAAGUCUCGGGGGUGUUAGAUAUAUAGGGGAAAUGCUGCCGAAAUUUCGGUAGACAAAAAUGAAGUUAAGAGUAUUCUUAAGCCUUAGAACCUCUAAUUGGUAACUUUGACCAUUUGCAGAUUCUGGACGAAACGGGAUUUGAGUUUGGGGUGAGCAUAAGACGUCUAUAAGGUACAGACGCCGGUGAUCCACCGUUGUAGGCCUUACGUUCAGCCAUUUUGGAGUACUCCCUUUGAUCCGGAGUCCACUUUUGGUACAUACAUCUUUUGCUAUGUAUAUAUUUUGUACAUUUGACUAUUUGGGUACGGCGGGGCCCUGUCUCGCCAUAUGUCUUUGUUUUGGAUUCGUAGAGGCCUGUAGUCAUGUAUGUGGGGCGAGGGUCCUAUAUGUGUUCGUUUGGUUUUGACAUUUGGUCUUAAUGCGGUCUGUUUGUUAUGAUGGCCCUAAACGGCCCUUAUGCUUAUGUUUGUACUUAUGACCGGCGAUGGAUAUUCCGCCGCUCUUUUCUGAUUUGAUAUGAUAUUUUGAUGCACGCGACCGCUUAA
Molecule: long non-coding RNA, 835 nt
Organism: Lycium barbarum (goji berry)
Lineage: Eukaryota; Viridiplantae; Streptophyta; Magnoliopsida; Solanales; Solanaceae
Exons: 2
Source: RefSeq, a predicted model, not a curated record